Molecule: long non-coding RNA, 2061 nt
Organism: Chinchilla lanigera (long-tailed chinchilla)
Lineage: Eukaryota; Metazoa; Chordata; Mammalia; Rodentia; Chinchillidae
Exons: 3
Source: RefSeq, a predicted model, not a curated record
GCUCUCCACAAGUUCCAUUGGACAGAGACCCCCAGUGCUCACUCUUUCACUUCACCACACCUCGCUUGGCAUCAUGGCCCCAGGGCGGCCACCCUUGGGUGAGUUCCCGAAGCCUCUGAGCACUCAGGUUACCCAGCACUGGCUGCCGACUGCUGCGGGUAUGCGGGCCACGGCCCACGUUUCCCACAUGCACAGACUGAGCCCACCUUCACUCACACGAACCUGCAGAAGGGGGAACUCUGAUCGUCCUGGGAAACGGGAGCUCUGAGAAAAAGCCCCCUGCUCAAGGUCAUGCAGCAAAGGAUAGUAGCCACAAAUGGAGCCUGAACUGUCCAGGUCAAAGGCCAUGCCCUCAUUUUCAACACCUACGUGCCUGCAGAAUAGCAGGUCAGGAGGACCAUUCCUGCAAAUGGGAUCCUCUACCCAGUUUUCAGGCUAGGCCAAUGGGUCAGCAGGGUCAGCUUUGAUGAUCUAUAAACCAAGACCCCCUAAGCACCAGAUGACAGCCUUGGAAGGACCCAUGGGUAUGUGAGAAUUCUGGUUGGCCAGAGAGAGCUGUUGUCACUCAUACAAACACACACACACACAUACACACGCACACACACACACAUAAAGAGUGACCUGACCUGACUGAGGUCACCCUUUUUGGCAGUGCUUUUUGUCUGUUCUCUUCCUCUCACCUUCCCACCCUCUGUUCUUGUCUUCCACACACUUCCCCAGUGACUGCUCAGAUGGGCUAAAAUGAUGGGAUUUUACUUCCUGAUGGUUUUCUUUUCUGGCUGUAGUGAUCACUCUUUGUCACAGAUGCCUGGGCUCUCCCCAAAGUGUCUGAGUUGAUAUGUUCCAUUCCAGUUGCAAGCUGUGUUUUUUUGAAUGUGAAUGAUUAGCAACCAUUAUGGGAACGUCAAAGGUACCCUGAGAGGGUGCAGAACCUAGAGGAGGUUCUAUGCUUUCUUUCUCUGCCCUUGAGGAUGCCUGUGCAGGGAUGAGGAAGCCUUCCAUCAACGGGAAACUGAAGGGCAACUACUGAGCUACAUUUCACUUCUCCCCCAACUUUUUUUUUGUGGUACUGGACAUCGAACUGAAAACUUUGGACUUGCCAGGCAGGUAUUUAUGCUGCUAAGGUAUAUCCCCUGCCCCAUUUUUUUUCCAUGUAAUUCUAUUUCCAUGUCUAGCUUACUGGGAGGGAGAAAGGAGUGAAGGAGAAGACGCUGGUCACGGUGAUGCGAGGCUUCCAGAUAACAGCUGCAGCAAUCCCACAGAACGUGGGGCGGGACCCAGCAUGUUCAGCUGCCUCAGAGAUGAUCUAACUGAGGAGAGUGAGAGGGACGCUGAGAAGAGUGAGAGGCUUACAGUGCAGAGCACGAGGGGCCUUUAGAUAGUAGGGACCUGCAAGCAACAGAGGGGCAGGAGCAAGAGUGGCCAAGUGAGAAAUUUAGUGCAAAGCCUCAUCUCUCUUAGUUUCAGAGCAAGCUUGAGGACCGAAGGCAGGAAGCACAAGCUGAGAAGGUCGAUGCAGGGGAAAUGAUGACCCUAGCAGAAAUGGAAAGAGCAGCAAAGCCUCAUCGUUCCCAGGACCCCGGAUCAUGACCGCAUGCAGCGAUGCUUUGGGCCGUAGAUCACCUCAAUCUCACCUACAUAAUGCAGGAUAACCUCUCUAUUUAAGGAGUGAGUCCAUGGCCGUAGAUGUCUAUCUUCCCCAACACCUCAAGCAAGCCCCGGAGUGAGGAGGUGGAGGCUGACACACAGCAGGCGGCUGUGCCUCACACAAGAGAUGAGACUGUGAGAGGAGCAAACCCUGGAGCCGCUGCAUCCAGCCAUCCUUCAGUGAGCCCUAAACCUCCCGGAUGUGUAAGCCAAGAGCUUCCUCCCACCUGUUUAAAAACAUUUACAGUGGGAUUCUCCCAUGUAUAUUUCAGUGAACCCUAAUCAUAUGUGUGUCUGUGAGCAUCAGGUUGAAACACAUCUAGGAGACUUUGGAGCGAACAGCAGGAAACAGAACUGAGGUGGUGGUCUGAGUAGCUUUUGCUUUUGACUUAAUAUAUUUGUACUGUUUGAGUA